Molecule: ribosomal RNA, 464 nt
Filed under: uncultured bacterium
Lineage: Bacteria
Description: partial 16S ribosomal RNA
Rfam family: Bacterial small subunit ribosomal RNA
Source: RNAcentral
ACGAACGCUGGCGGCGUGCUUCACACAUGCCAGUCGAACGGAAAGGCCCUGCUUGCAGGGUCCUCGAGUGGCGAACGGGUGAGUAACACGUGGGUGAUCUGCCCUGCACUUCGGGAUAAGCCUGGGAAACUGGGUCUAAUACCGGAUAGGAGCCAUUUUUAGUGUGAUGGUUGGAAAGUUUUUUCGGUGUAGGAUGAGCUCGCGGCCUAUCAGCUUGUUGGUGGGGUAAUGGCCUACCAAGGCGGCGACGGGUAGCCGGCCUGAGAGGGUGGACGGCCACAUUGGGACUGAGAUACGGCCCAGACUCCUACGGGAGGCAGCAGUGGGGAAUAUUGCACAAUGGGCGCAAGCCUGAUGCAGCGACGCCGCGUGGGGGAUGACGGCCUUCGGGUUGUAAACGCCUUUCGCUAGGGACGAAGCUUUUUGUGACGGUACCUAGAUAAGAAGCACCGGCUAACUACGUG